AUAGGAAUCACCAGAUGAUCUCAUUAAAAUGUAGCUUCGGAUUCAGCAUCUCUCCCAAGGGUCCUAGGUUCUACAUUUCUACUGAGCUCCUAGAUUAUACCCAC
RNAcentral lists this microRNA precursor (104 nucleotides) under Marmota monax (woodchuck). The record is from RNAcentral. Lineage: Eukaryota; Metazoa; Chordata; Mammalia; Rodentia; Sciuridae.